UACGGAGGGUGCGAGCGUUGUCCGGAUUUACUGGGCGUAAAGGGCGCGUAGGCGGCCACCGCAAGUCAGCUGUGAAAGCUCUGGGCUUAACCCAGAAAGGUCAACUGAUACUGCGGGGCUAGAGUGCAGAAGGGGCAACUGGAAUUCUCGGUGUAGCGGUGAAAUGCGUAGAUAUCGAGAGGAACACCUGCGGCGAAGGCGGGUUGCUGGGCUGACACUGACGCUGAAGUGCGAAAGCUAGGGGAGCGAACGGG
RNAcentral lists this ribosomal RNA (254 nucleotides) under uncultured bacterium. Its description in RNAcentral is "partial 16S ribosomal RNA". It matches the Rfam family "Bacterial small subunit ribosomal RNA", at positions 524 to 776 of the family's 1533-position model. The record is from RNAcentral.